UAGUUAUAUUCUUGAAACUUAAAGAAUUUGGCGGUACUUUAAUCUAGUCAGAGGAACCUGUUCUGUAAUCGAUAUUCCACGUUAAAUUUUACUAAGUUAUUUGUAUAUCGUUGUCGAAAGAAUAAAUUUUCUAAUAUUUUUAUUUUAAUAAAUGUCAAAUCAAGGUGCAGUUAAUAGCUUAGAAGAAAUGGGUUACAAUAAAUAUAUUUAGGAAUUGGACAAAGGAGGAUUUGAAAGUAAAAUAAU
RNAcentral lists this ribosomal RNA (246 nucleotides) under Neopsylla mana. RNAcentral describes it as "partial 12S ribosomal RNA". Lineage: Eukaryota; Metazoa; Arthropoda; Insecta; Siphonaptera; Ctenophthalmidae. The record is from RNAcentral.